Long non-coding RNA from Ipomoea triloba (trilobed morning glory), 874 nucleotides. RefSeq lists it as uncharacterized. The transcript is spliced from 2 exons. The record is from RefSeq and is a predicted model, not a curated record. NCBI's taxonomy places the organism in Eukaryota, Viridiplantae, Streptophyta, Magnoliopsida, Solanales, Convolvulaceae.
UUAGGAAAAAUCCAAACCCUAACCUUAAAAACCACGAAUUGAGAGCUUAAAAUAGACGCAGAAUCAGAAUUCCGGUGCUCUACUUGAAGCUCCAUCGAAAAUCCAUAUCCUGGUGGAAGAGAAGCAGAGAAAAUGCCUCUGAAAGUGUUGGGCGCUACCGUAGCAACACUCAAUGGAGUGUUUGAGAAGUUCAAAGCCGAAGCCCCCAAAAACAAGGCCAAUUUCAUCCUCUUCCUGGCUGACAUUGAUCCUUCCACCUCCCUUAGCUGGUGCCCCGAGUCUGUGCCCAUGUGUAUGCAGCAAUUACUCUCAUCCAGUGCAGUAUAUGUUCUUGAUUAGCCUUUGUUAGAACUUAGAACUCACCAGCUGUUGAAGGAUGGAAAAAAUAUUUUUUUUCAAGUUGGUCAAACAGUUGGUUUGGCCGCUUGAUAAGCACAAGAUUCCAAGUUUGAUUCUUCCAUAAGAGAUUGGUCUUCUUGGUUUGAGCUGAUUGGACAACCUAGAUUAGUUUAUCUUGGGGUUCUUUGUCGGCCAGGGUCGCAAGUCAAGCUUCACCCAGAGCACACCUUCUAGAAGCGGCUACAGGCUUUUCUGUAAAUCAAGCAGGAUUUGUAGAUUCUUGUUCUGUUGUUUGUAUACAUUGUUCAAAGAUAUAUGGUAGCUGAUAAAUGUUUUAAUCUUUCUAGCAUAUAAUCUCCAAAUAAUGUAUGCUUUGAAAGGCUAUUCCCAUGCUUGGCAUCAUGAUGUUUGUGUGAAUGUUUUUUCUGAGUAGCUUAGUCGCUUAGUGUACCUAUGAUCAAUUUCGUAAGCAACUUGGUGUCAAUGAUGUUGUGAAUGUUGUUUCCGUGAAUGGUAGUGUACCUUUAAUCUGAAA